GAUGAACGCUGGCGGCGUGCCUAAUACAUGCAAGUCGAGCGAACGGACGAGAAGCUUGCUUCUCUGUUGUUAGCGGCGGACGGGUGAGUAACACGUGGAUAACCUACCUAUAAGACUGGGAUAACUUCGGGAAACCGGCGCUAAUACCGGAUGAUAUUUUGAACCGCAUGGGUGAAAAGUGAAAUACGGUGUUGCGGGCACGUAUUGAUGGAUCCGCGCUGCAUUAGCUAGUUGGUAAGGUAACGGCUUACCAAGGCAACGAGGCAUAGCCGAACGCAGAGAGUGAUCGGCCGCCCUGGAACGGGGACACGGUCAAGACUCCUACGGGAGGCAGCAGUAGGGAAUCUUCGGCAAUGGGCGAAAGCCUGACGGAGCAACGCCGAGUGAGUGAUGAAGGUCUCGGGAUCGUAAAACUGUGUUAUUAGGGAAGAACCUAUGUGUACGUAGCUGUGCAGAUCUUGACGGUACCUAAUCAGAAAGCAACGGCUAACUACGUG
RNAcentral lists this ribosomal RNA (497 nucleotides) under uncultured bacterium. RNAcentral describes it as "partial 16S ribosomal RNA". It matches the Rfam family "Bacterial small subunit ribosomal RNA", at positions 28 to 507 of the family's 1533-position model. The record is from RNAcentral.